This 74-nucleotide transfer RNA is filed under the name Rosistilla ulvae. Its description in RNAcentral is "Planctomycetes bacterium EC9 tRNA-Thr". It matches the Rfam family "tRNA". From Rfam's summary of the family: Transfer RNA (tRNA) molecules are approximately 80 nucleotides in length. Their secondary structure includes four short double-helical elements and three loops (D, anti-codon, and T loops). Lineage: Bacteria; Pseudomonadati; Planctomycetota; Planctomycetia; Pirellulales; Pirellulaceae. RNAcentral also lists the same sequence under 2 other names. The record is from RNAcentral.
GCCGAUGUAGCUCAACUGGCAGAGCGAUUCAUUCGUAAUGAAUAGGUUGCGGGUUCAAGUCCCACCAUCGGCUC